GGUACCGUAGCCAAGUGGUAAGGUCCGAAGCUGCAACCUUCGUAUUCGUCAGUUCGAGUCUGACCGGUACCUCCA
Molecule: transfer RNA, 75 nt
Filed under: Mycoplasmataceae bacterium
Lineage: Bacteria; Bacillati; Mycoplasmatota; Mollicutes; Mycoplasmatales; Mycoplasmataceae
Description: tRNA-Cys
Rfam family: tRNA
About the family: Transfer RNA (tRNA) molecules are approximately 80 nucleotides in length. Their secondary structure includes four short double-helical elements and three loops (D, anti-codon, and T loops). Further hydrogen bonds mediate the characteristic L-shaped molecular structure. tRNAs have two regions of fundamental functional importance: the anti-codon, which is responsible for specific mRNA codon recognition, and the 3' end, to which the tRNAs corresponding amino acid is attached (by aminoacyl-tRNA synthetases). tRNAs cope with the degeneracy of the genetic code in two manners: having more than one tRNA (with a specific anti-codon) for a particular amino acid; and 'wobble' base-pairing, i.e. permitting non-standard base-pairing at the 3rd anti-codon position.
Source: RNAcentral